Molecule: long non-coding RNA, 637 nt
Filed under: Bos indicus x Bos taurus (hybrid cattle)
Lineage: Eukaryota; Metazoa; Chordata; Mammalia; Artiodactyla; Bovidae
Description: lncRNA (ENSBIXG00000028640.1)
Source: RNAcentral
GGGAAAUUGCUUGUGUGCAAGCAGCAUUUCUGAGAUGGCUUUUCCUGGGAGUUUGACUUGCAGAUAUUUGUGCCAGGAACUCAGGUUUCAGGUAGUGGGCAGGGAGGCUGCUUGGCCAAUCGGAAGGUGGAUCUGCCCAGGUCAUUUGCAAGUCCCAGCCCACUUUCCUGCAGUGCCACCAGGCUGGUGAGCUAUCUCCUUGGGGAUGUCACAGCUCUGGCUACGAUUUCCUUUCACUCCUUAGCUGCUGGAGCAAUCUGAUGAUGACUUUCAUCUGUGCAUGCAGCACUCAGGUAGCAGUAAACCAGAACGACAUGAAUACAGACGAUGAUGGCCCUGGACACGGCAGCCACACUCCAGGUACAUGUCCAUCAGCCCUGAAAACAGGGAGUACUGCAAAUCUACAAACAGGGAAAAACCCUCAGAGAGUUACUUGUGUCAAAUGAAUUUCUAUAUUCUUGAAAUAUGAGGAGAGCUUGAGCCUUUGGGAGAGGGAAUUUCGUUCCCUGUCUGUGCAUUGGGUAUUUGGGUUGGCACACCACAAAGAAAAUUUUCCACUUCCCAUGCACCCAUCUUUUAAUCUUUGAAAACGUCUCAGUGUGAAGUCGGUGUCACAGUAGUCUUGAAGGAGUAGCAU